RNAcentral lists this ribosomal RNA (356 nucleotides) under Ochrobactrum sp. PDN6. RNAcentral's name for it is "bacterial SSU rRNA". It matches the Rfam family "Bacterial small subunit ribosomal RNA", at positions 41 to 398 of the family's 1533-position model. The record is from RNAcentral. Lineage: Bacteria; Pseudomonadati; Pseudomonadota; Alphaproteobacteria; Hyphomicrobiales; Brucellaceae.
UUUAACCGACGUAACGCUGGCGGCAGGCUUAACACAUGCAAGUCGAGCGCCCCGCAAGGGGAGCGGCAGACGGGUGAUUAACGCGUGGGAACGUACCUUUUGCUACGGAAUAACUCAGGGAAACUUGUGCUAAUACCGUAUGUGCCCUUCGGGGGAAAGAUUUAUCGGCAAAGGAUCGGCCCGCGUUGGAUUACCUAUUUGGUGAGGUAAAGGCUCACCAAGGCGACAAUCCUUACCUGGUCUGAAAGGAUGAUCACCCACGCUGGGACUGACACCCGGCCCAAACUCCUACGGAAGGAACCGGGGGGUAAUAUUGGACAAUGUGCCCACCCCGGAUCCAGCCUUCCAAAGUAAAA